AUUGAACGCUAGCGGCAUGCUUUACACAUGCAAGCCGAACGGUAACAGGCCUUCGGGUUCUGACGAGUGGCGAACGGGUGCGUAACACGUCUGCACGCUCCCUUUGUCGGGGGGAAACGCAUUGAAAACUGUGCUAAAACCGCCUUAGUUUUUUGGAUGAAAUCGGGGGAUCUUGCAGCAUUUGUUGGCUACGCGCCUUCGGAGGGGCCGAUGGCAGAUUAGGUAGUUGGUGGGGUAAAGAGCUACCAAGCCGACGAUCUGUAGCUAGUCUGAGAGGACAACCAGCCACACUGGGACUGAGACACGGCCCAGACUCCUACGGGAGGCAGCAGUGGGGAAUGUUGGACAAUGGGCGCAAGCCUGAUCCAGCAAUGCCGCGUGCGGGAAGAAGGCCUUCGGGUUGUAAACCGCUUUUGUACGGAACGAAAAGGCUCUGGCUAAUACCUGGGGCUGAUGACGGUACCGUAAGAAUAAGCACCGGCUAACUACGUG
This 492-nucleotide ribosomal RNA is filed under the name uncultured bacterium. RNAcentral describes it as "partial 16S ribosomal RNA". It matches the Rfam family "Bacterial small subunit ribosomal RNA", at positions 30 to 507 of the family's 1533-position model. The record is from RNAcentral.